GGUGAAGAACGCAGCGAAAUGCGAUAAGUAAUGUGAAUUGCAGAAUUCAGUGAAUCAUCGAAUCUUUGAACGCACAUUGCGCCCCCUGGUAUUCCGGGGGGCAUGCCUGUUCGAGCGUCAUUUCACCACUCAAGCCUCGCUUGGUAUUGGGCAACGCGGUCCGCCGCGUGCCUCAAAUCGACCGGCUGGGUCUUCUGUCCCCUAAGCGUUGUGGAAACUAUUCGCUAAAGGGUGUUCGGGAGGCUACGCCGUAAAACAACCCCAUUUCUAAGGUUGACCUCGGAUCAGGUAGGGAUACCCGCUGAACUUAAGCAUAUCAAUAAGCGGAGGA
RNAcentral lists this unclassified non-coding RNA (331 nucleotides) under soil metagenome. RNAcentral describes it as "partial contains 5.8S ribosomal RNA, internal transcribed spacer 2, and large subunit ribosomal RNA". The stretch from base 3 to 120 matches the Rfam family "5.8S ribosomal RNA", at positions 37 to 154 of the family's 154-position model. The record is from RNAcentral.